CACGCCGUAAACGAUGGAUGCUAGCCGUCGGAUAGCUUGCUAUUCGGUGGCGCAGCUAACGCAUUAAGCAUCCCGCCUGGGGAGUACGGCCGCAAGGUUAAAACUCAAAGGAAUUGACGG
This 120-nucleotide ribosomal RNA is filed under the name uncultured bacterium. RNAcentral's name for it is "partial 16S ribosomal RNA". It matches the Rfam family "Bacterial small subunit ribosomal RNA", at positions 796 to 916 of the family's 1533-position model. The record is from RNAcentral.